Phrynosoma platyrhinos (Desert horned lizard) is the source of this 72-nucleotide non-coding RNA. NCBI's taxonomy places the organism in Eukaryota, Metazoa, Chordata, Lepidosauria, Squamata, Phrynosomatidae. The record is from the annotation of a GenBank genome assembly.
GCCAGCGUGGUAUAGUGGUUUGAACACUGGACUAUUACUCUGGAGACUAUGGUUCAAAUGCCCUCUCAGCCA